Molecule: ribosomal RNA, 431 nt
Filed under: uncultured bacterium
Lineage: Bacteria
Description: partial 16S ribosomal RNA
Rfam family: Bacterial small subunit ribosomal RNA
Source: RNAcentral
AACGAACGCUGGCGGCAGGCCUAACACAUGCAAGUCGAGCGCCCUUUCGGGGGAGCGGCGGACGGGUGAGUAACGCGUGGGAAUAUGCCCUUCUCUACGGAAUAGCCUCGGGAAACUGAGAGUAAUACCGUAUACGCCCUAUGGGGGAAAGAUUUAUCGGGGAAGGAUUAGCCCGCGUUGGAUUAGGUAGUUGGUGGGGUAAUGGCCUACCAAGCCGACGAUCCAUAGCUGGUUUGAGAGGAUGAUCAGCCACACUGGGACUGAGACGCGGCCCAGACUCCUACCGGAGGCAGCAGUGGGGAAUCUUAGACAAUGGGGGCAACCCUGAUCUAGCCAUGCCGCGGGAGUGAAGAAGGCCUUUGGGUUGUAAAGCCCUUUCAGCUGGGAAGGUAAUGACGGUACCAGCAGGAGAAGGCCCGGCUAACUCCGUG